GACAGAGGGUGCAAACGUUGCUCGGAAUCACUGGGCGUAAAGGGCGUGUAGGCGGGCGUGCAAGUCAGGCGUGAAAUCCCUGGGCUCAACCCAGGAACUGCGUCCGAUACUGGUUGGCUUGAAUCCGGGAGAGGGAUGUGGAAUUCCAGGUGUAGCGGUGAAAUGCGUAGAUAUCUGGAGGAACACCGGUGGCGAAGGCGACAUCCUGGACCGGUAUUGACGCUGAGGCGCGAAAGCCAGGGGAGCAAACGGG
Molecule: ribosomal RNA, 253 nt
Filed under: uncultured bacterium
Lineage: Bacteria
Description: partial 16S ribosomal RNA
Rfam family: Bacterial small subunit ribosomal RNA
Source: RNAcentral